Molecule: long non-coding RNA, 4865 nt
Filed under: Phaseolus vulgaris (common bean)
Lineage: Eukaryota; Viridiplantae; Streptophyta; Magnoliopsida; Fabales; Fabaceae
Description: long non-coding RNA (PVUL_LNC000527)
Source: RNAcentral
UAUUUAUUACAUGCUUUUAUUCUUUUAAAACUCACAGGUUAAAUAAAAUAGAUAUAGUAUAAUUGGUUCAGGUUAUAACUAUUGCAUCCUUCUAUUUUCUUCUCUAAUCUUUUCCAAAAUUACUAUCUUUGUAGGUUUUAAAGUGGCUAAAAUUCCUUAAUCUUAGUCACUCCAAGUUUUUGAGAGAAACACCUGACUUUUCAGGACUACCAAGUCUUGAAAAGCUCAUUCUAAAAGAUUGCCCAAGUUUGUGCACGGUACACCAAUCCAUUGGAGAUCUCCACAAUCUACUUCUGUUAAAUUUGAAAGACUGCACAAGUCUAAGCAAUCUCCCCAUAGAGAUAUAUAAGUUGAAAUCUUUAAGAACUUUCAUCCUCUCUGGUUGUUUCAAGGUUAAUAUAUUGGAAGAAGAUAUAGCGCAGAUGAAAUCCUUGAUAACUCUUGUUGCUGAAAAUACAGCUGUGAAAACAAGUGUCUUGUAAGUGUGCUCAUUGUAAUUGUCUUGGUCACAUUAUUGAAACUUUCUAUAAGAAAUAUGGAUAUCCUCUCACAUGCAGAAUUCUCAUUUUGCUCUUAAUGUUCGAUCACUCGGAGAUAUUGAUGAAGGUGAUGAUACUACAACUGAUCUUUCUCGAGUAGUAGUGUCUUCUACUAGAAAUAUGACUCUGACUCCUGAGAUACAUUGUUGAUUUAAUAUUUCUAGGUAACUGUUCAUAAAAUUAGUUAAGAGUUUGUUACUGCAGUUACUAUAAAUGUAAUUGUUAGCAAAGAUAAUAAAAUAUCUUCCUCUGUAUUAUUCUAAAAAACCAACAAUUGGUAUCAGAGCUAUCUUCUUGAGGGAUCUGUGAGGUUAGUAGAGUGCAUCAAUGGAAGGAGGUUUCAAUUUUUCAGCAAUGGCACCACCUGUCUUUGAUGGAGACAACUAUCAAAUGUGGGCUGUUCGUAUGGAGACCUACCUAGAAGCAUUGGAUUUAUGGGAAGCUGUAGAAGAGGAAAUUCAGUCCCUUCCAGAAAACCCUACUGUGGCACAAAUAAAAUCACAGAAGGAAAAGAAGAUGAAAAGAUCAAAGGCAAAAGCAUGUCUAUUUGCAGCUGUAUCUCCUAUGGUAUUCACAAGGAUAAUGUCCUUGAAGUCAGCAAAAGAAAUCUGGGAUUACCUCAAGGCCGAAUAUGAAGGUGAUGAGAGGAUUCGUGGAAUGCAAGUGCUGAAUCUAAUCAAGGAGUUUGAACUGCAGAGAAUGGAGGAGUCAGAAACCGUAAAAGAGUAUUCUGACAGACUUCUAAGCAUUGCCAACAAAGUGGGAUUGCUUGGAUCUGUGUUAAAAGAUUCAAUAAUUGUGAAAAAACUGCUUGUAACGGUUCCAGAGAGGUUUGAAGCCACCAUAACAACCCUAGAGAACACAAAGGACCUAUCAAAAUUUUUUCUUGCAGAGCUCUUAAAUGCUUUACAAGCACAAGAACAAAGAAGAGCUAUGAGACAAGAUGGAGCAAUAGAAGGAGCCUUAACAGCCAAUCAUAAAGGUGGUUGGAGAAACAAAGGUAGCCAGAUCAAGCAGAACCAGCAAGAAAAUGAAGAAGUUGUUGCACACAAUAACCACAAAAGGAGAAAUUACCCUCCUUGUAAGCAUUGCAACAAGUUAGGUCAUCCACCGUUUAAGUGCUGCAGAAGACCUGAUGCUAAGUGCAACAAGUGCAAUCAACUUGGGCAUGAAGAAGUCAUUUGUAGAAACCAAAGUGAGCAACAAGAUGUAAACCAAAGUGAGCAAAAAGACAUAGAUGCUCAAUUUGCAAAUGAGGAGGAGGAUGUACUUUUCGUUGCAACUGGUUUCUCCAACAAUAUUUCAAGUGCAUCGUGGUUAAUUGAUAGUGGAUGCACAAAUCACAUGACUUAUGACAAACAACUUUUCAAGGAGUUGAAGCCUUCAAAAAUUUCAAAGGUCAAGAUAGGCCAUGGGGGUCACAUUUCAGAAAAAGGAAUAGGAACCAUUGUUGUAGCAACACAUUCAGGUACUAAAACUAUUACUGAUGUGUUAUAUGUACCUAACAUAGACCAAAAUUUAUUAAGUGUUGGUCGGUUGCUGCAAAAAAGGAUUCAAGGUGUUUUUUGAAGAUAACCACGGUUUGAUCAAGGAUGCUACAGGACAAGAUUUGUUCAAGGUACAAAUGAGAGGCAAAAGUUUCUCAUUAGAUCUAUUUCAGGAGGAGCCGUCUGAUUAAGGACUUAUGAAGAUGCAAAAAUCUGAAAUAGAAGAUGAUCCACCAAUUAAAGGCAAUCGAUUACUCUCUGACAUAUAUCAUAGAUGUAACAUUGCAAUAUGUGAACCUGUGGAUCACAAAGAAGCUGCGGAUCACAAAGAACCUGUUGAUCAUAAAGAAGUUAUCAAUGACCCAAAGGCGGAAAAGGCAAUGGAGGAAGAGGUAGAUAUGAGUGAGAAGAACAAAACUCGGGAUCUUGUUGACAUACUUCGAGAUAGAAAGGUACAUCAAAUGGAUGUCAAGUCAACAUUCCUAAAUAGAUUUCUUGAAGAGAAAAUUUCUGUUGAGCAACCUAAAGGUCUCAUUGUGGAAGGAAAAGAAGACAAAGGUUAUCUUAUCAGCUUAGGCUUUGACAAAAGUCUUUUAGAAUCUGCACCUUAUUGAAAAAAAUAAAAAUUGCAGAUUUGUUUACCAAGCCACUUCCAACCAACAAGUUUGAGUUCUCAAGACAGAAGAUUGGAAUUUGCAGUUCAAAAAAUCAAGGAGGAGUGUUGGAAAUUCUGUUUUUUUAACUGUUCGUUAUUCUGUUUUAAUUCUGUUUUAAUUGUUGAUUUAAUAUUUCUAGGUAACUGCUCAUAAAAUUAGUUAAGAGUUUGUUACUGCAGUUACUAUAAAUGUAAUUGUUAGCAAAGAUAAUAAAAUAUCUUCCUCUGAAUUAUUCUAAGAAACCAACAAACAUCUUCACAUUAUUGCUUUUGAAGACUUGACUCCAAUAAUUCCUUUGAUGGAGUUCGCUUCUUCUUCAUCAUCAUCGUCUUCAUCCUUCUUAAGAUCAGAACCCCAGUUCACAUACGACGUGUUCAUCAACUCUUGGGGAGAAGAAAUCGGUAGAAAGUUGGUUUCUCAUCUUCAUUCUUUCCUUUUACAAGCUAAAGUAAAAACUUUGAUUAAGGAGGAGAAUCUGCAGGAGGGAAUGGGGCUGGAAGAACACAUGCGAGAAAUAGCAGCCUCUAAGAUUGCAAUAAUCGUUUUCUCCAAAUCAUACACUGAAUCUUACCAAAGUGUGUAUGAUAGGGAUAUGGGAAAUGGGAGGAACAGGUAAACCUACCUUAGCCAAAGCCAUCUAUUCAUUGGUAAGAGUUUAAUUGAAAAUAUUAGAGAUGUUUGGGAUCGAGUAGAUGGAAGCCAUGUUGAUGUGCAAGAAAAUCUUCUAUAUAAUGUCCUAAAAUCCAAGCUUGAGGUGGAAAGCGUUGGGAUGGGAAGAACUAUGAUCGAGAAUGGACUUUCUCGGAAAAAGUUGAUGAUUGUGCUUGAUGAUGUGAAUGUGAACUCUAAUAAUCAUUACAAAUAGACAUUUUCAUGUACUGGACCUACUCAAACUUUAUUUUGUUUAUACAAUGGAUUAUAUGAACGAAAAUGAGUCCAUUGAGCUUUUUAGUUGGCAUGCCUUUGGAGCAGCAAAACCAAGAGAAGACUUUAAUGAACUUGCAAGAAACAUGGUUGCUUAUUGUAGAGGACUACAACUAGAUCUUGAGGUCCUUGGUUCCUUUUUAAGUCAUAAGACAAUGAAAAAGUGGGAAAGUGUAUCCUCAAAAGCAAAAGUAAUUCCCAUUCAUAAAAUUCAAGAGAGCUUGAGAAUAAGUUUUGAUGAUUUAAGCAAUGUGGAAAAGCAUAUAUUUCUUGAUGUAUGUUGUUUCUUUGUUGGUAAAGACAAAGGCUAUGUCACAGAUAUACUAAAUGGAUGUGAACUGUAUGCUGAUAUUGGAAUAACAGUUCUCAUAGAACCUGGUCUUAUAAAAGUUGAACGGAACAAUAAACUUGAAAUGCCUUCUUUGUUACGAGACAUGGGAAGAGAAAUUAUUCGUCAGAGUUGGCCAAAGGAACCGGGGAAAAGGAGUCGAUUAUGGGUUCAGGAUGAUGUCAAAGAUGUACUGAAAGAGAAUACUGUAAGAACAUUCCUUUUAUGAUUUUGAAACUUCGAUUCAAAGUAUUUUUUUUUUUCAAGUGCAAUGCAUGUGUCGUUAACCGAUUAGGCCCAGCAUUAAGUAUCGAUGAUCAACAGAUAUUGAUAUAUUUCUCAAUUGUAUCUCUUCGCUAUAUUCAUCACAGGGGACAGAAGCUAUCCAGGGAUUGUCUCUGAAACUGCAUUCAACCAGCAGAGAUUGCUUCAAAGCUCAUGCUUUCAGGGAAAUGAAGGGAUUAAGACUGCUACAACUGGAUCAUGUACAACUUACUGGAGAUUAUGGGUACAUUUCUAAACAAUUGAGAUGGAUUUCUUGGCAAGGGUUUCGUUCUAAGUACAUACCAAACAACUUUCGUAUGGAAAAUGUAAUUGCAAUUGAUUUAAAACAUAGUCAUCUUCAACUCGUCUGGAAACAACCCCAGGUAUUUUAUUACAUGUUUUUUUCUUUUAAAGCUCACAGGUUAAUUAAAAUAGAUAUAGUAUAAUUGGUUCAGGUUAUAACUAUUGCAUUCUUCUAUUUUCUUCUCUAAUAUUUUCCAAAAUUACAAUCUUUGUAGGUUUUAAAGUGGCUAAAAUUCCUUAAUCUUAGUCACUCCAAGUUCUUGAGAGAAACACCUGACUUUUCAGGACUACCAAGUCUUGAAAAGCUCAUUCUAAAAGAUUGCCCAAGUUUGUGCAAGGAACACCAAACCAUUGGAGAUCUCCG